This 497-nucleotide ribosomal RNA is filed under the name uncultured bacterium. RNAcentral describes it as "partial 16S ribosomal RNA". It matches the Rfam family "Bacterial small subunit ribosomal RNA", at positions 28 to 507 of the family's 1533-position model. The record is from RNAcentral.
GAUGAACGCUGGCGGCGUGCCUAAUACAUGCAAGUCGAGCGAACAGAUGAGGAGCUUGCUCCUCUGACGUUAGCGGCGGACGGGUGAGUAACACGUGGAUAACCUACCUAUAAGACUGGGAUAACUUCGGGAAACCGGAGCUAAUACCGGAUAAUAUAUUGAACCGCAUGGUUCAAUAGUGAAAGACGGUUUUGCUGUCACUUAUAGAUGGAUCCGCGCCGCAUUAGCUAGUUGGUAAGGUAACGGCUUACCAAGGCAACGAUGCGUAGCCGACCUGAGAGGGGGAUCGGCCACACUGGAACUGAGACACGGUCCAGACUCCUACGGGAGGCAGCAGUCGGGAAUCUGACGCAAUGGGCGAAAGCCUGACGCAGCAACGCCGCGUGAGUGAUGAAGGUCUUCGGAUCGUAAAACUCUGUUAUUAGGGAAGAACAACUGUGUAAGUAACUAUGGCCGUAUUGACGGUAACUAAUCAGAAAGCCACGGCUAACUACGUG